Molecule: ribosomal RNA, 460 nt
Filed under: uncultured Ferruginibacter sp.
Lineage: Bacteria; Pseudomonadati; Bacteroidota; Chitinophagia; Chitinophagales; Chitinophagaceae
Description: bacterial SSU rRNA
Rfam family: Bacterial small subunit ribosomal RNA
Source: RNAcentral
CCUACGGGGGGCUGCAGUAAGGAAUAUUGGUCAAUGGACGAAAGUCUGAACCAGCCAUGCCGCGUGAAGGAUGAAGGUCCUCUGGAUUGUAAACUUCUUUUAUCUGGGACGAAAAAAGCUCAUUCUUGAGCACUUGACGGUACCAGAGGAAUAAGCACCGGCUAACUCCGUGCCAGCAGCCGCGGUAAUACGGAGGGUGCAAGCGUUAUCCGGAUUUACUGGGUUUAAAGGGUGCGUAGGUGGAUUUGUAAGUCAGUGGUGAAAUCUCCGAGCUUAACUCGGAAACUGCCAUUGAUACUAUAAGUCUUGAAUUAUCUGGAGGUAAGCGGAAUAUGUCAUGUAGCGGUGAAAUGCUUAGAUAUGACAUAGAACACCAAUUGCGAAGGCAGCUUACUACGGAUUUAUUGACACUGAGGCACGAAAGCGUGGGGAUCAAACAGGAUUAGAUACCCCUGUAGUC